Molecule: ribosomal RNA, 193 nt
Filed under: uncultured bacterium
Lineage: Bacteria
Description: partial 16S ribosomal RNA
Rfam family: Bacterial small subunit ribosomal RNA
Source: RNAcentral
AGUUCGGAUAAGAGGCUGAGACUCGCCUCUUUGAAGUCGGAAUCGCUAGUAAUCGCAGAUCAGCAUGUUGCGGUGAAUACGUUUCCUGGUCUUGCACACACCGCCCGUCAAACCAUGAGAGUCGCCAACACCCGAAGUCCGCUUUGCGGCCUAAGGUGGGGAGAUGAUUGGGGUUAAGUCGUAACAAGGUAAC